Molecule: long non-coding RNA, 799 nt
Filed under: Capsella rubella
Lineage: Eukaryota; Viridiplantae; Streptophyta; Magnoliopsida; Brassicales; Brassicaceae
Description: long non-coding RNA (CRUB_LNC001450)
Source: RNAcentral
AAGCAGCGAAAAAGUAGUCAAUUUGAUAAGCUGAAGCUGCAAGUAUAGAUAAAUAGUUUUUCAUUGAUUCAGUUGGUACAAUCAUGUGAACACCUCAUUUCAGCAUAUACAUUCGUUUAGAUUCAGUUCCAGUGCUGUAUGAAUCCGGAGUUGUUGCUUUGUAAUUCUUGAAACUGGCUGUAAGAAUCCGGAGUUGGUGCUUCGUAAUUCUUGAAACUGAUCAAGUUCUUGAAGCAUGAAACACUAGAGUCUUUCUUGUCUGGCUUGUAGUUUUGAUAUCAGAAGCUUCAAACUUCAUGUCAGAGUCAUCAUCAGUCAUCAGUGUAGGUCAGGUAAUGGGGAUCAUGAUUAUGAAAGUCUCCUCGACAUAGUGGGAUAUAACCUGCAAUUACAAGUUAAGAGUAAGUGAGAGCCCAUUACAGAACCAAUAUGUUGUGUAAGAACAGAGAACUGCUGAUCAUGAACCAUAAACCUAUAACAAACAAAAAUCGCAAGCAAGAUCUCUAUCAUCUUCUUCUUGCUGAUAAUAUGAUGAUGGAUGAAAUGUGAAAUCAUAGAAUGAAGAAACUUCUAAUUGUUUGAACUUAGCUUAUAGCCAGACUAAUCAUAUACCCCAGGAGGGAAGAAACCUAUAUAUUUUUUUUUUUUUUAAAUCAUUGAAAAUCAAAAUAUCCUUUUUGCCAAAAGAAAAGAGAGAGAGAGAGAGAAAGAUCCAAAAAAGAAGAAACAAGAUUAGAUGCCAUGACUUAUAACCAUUAGUUCCUAUAGAGAACAUAGAGGUUGGGGUUGUGAUUGAAAG